Molecule: long non-coding RNA, 4095 nt
Organism: Anguilla rostrata (American eel)
Lineage: Eukaryota; Metazoa; Chordata; Actinopteri; Anguilliformes; Anguillidae
Exons: 8
Source: RefSeq, a predicted model, not a curated record
CACACACCAUUUUGUUAGAAGUACACUGCAAAAUUAGAUAGGCUAGCUGUAAUUACUCCGCAGAUUGGAUUUGGGCGUCUUUGGCUUUUACUUUUUACGAGGAUCUUUCACACUUUUGAAACUUUGGCCACUCAACAUGUUGCAACUACUCAUAUUAGGAACUCAUCUUUAUUUCAUGUCACAUGCAGUUUCAGGUGCUUCCACUGCAGGCAUUCAUUCUACACCAGAUUCACAGGCCCUGGCCCCUGCCAGUAGCACCAUCGUGCCCAUCCCAGACUCUACCUUCUUCCUCUCCAUUAAAAUCACCAACCGAAUCUUCAAUGAGUCUCUCGAAAACCAGAGCUCAGAGGACUACAGGGAACUGCGAGGUGAACUCACGCGACUGCUGGAUGAUGUCUACACAUCAGAGCCUUAUAAUUACUCAGGCAUCUCAGCGAUGACCUUCAGUAAAGGAUCUGUGGUAGCAAACACGACAAUUGCGUUCAGGACCACAGACAUAAUCCCCUCUGUGGUCAAAAAUCUAUUUCUCGAUUAUGUAAAGAAAAAUCCACCGUCAAAUCUUGAACUCAACAUCACUGAAGUGCAAGAGAUUCCCCUGCCAGAUGUUGGACCUCAAGAAAAUGGCACGACUAGUGCAACUACGCUGACCGUAUCUCCACGUCCCAACACAGCAACUGAAACUACUGUAAACCAUGAGUCCACCUCUUCAUCAGGAAUCACAAAUACUAAACCUACAGUUUCUGAAACUCCUCCUUUUACUCAGACUGUGGGUAGCAUGCCUAACACAACUCGUUUCCACUCAGAAAAUGAUACUAUUAUUAGUUCCUUAACAGGUUCCAUUAGCAGUACCACGGACACAACUAACUCUCCAUCAAGUCCAUCAAGUGAAAGUACCCAAUCCCAGCUGACUCAUGAUACUGAAGACUCCACAACUACUUCACAUUCACUCAGCAAUAGUACUGUCAAUCCCAUUACCAAUUUUUCUAUAUCAAGUAGUAGUGGAGGUUCCACAAGAAAUAUACGUUUUACAUCCAGUAGUACUACUAAUGAUUCCUUGUCAGAAACUUCUAGUCCACACAUAAAUAGUAGUAUAUAUAGUAGCAGUAGUCCUACUGUUCACCCACCAGUUAGUACUUCUAUGACUACAGUUAUUACUUCCUCACAUAAUACUACUAUUCAUUCCACUGAAAUCACAAAUGCUACCUCUUUAAAUAUAACCCAAUCUCCACCAUUGGCAAGCACUACUGACCACCCUAUUAAUGGCACUCCCAACACUUCAGAAAGGAGCACAGCUAAGUUUCACUCACCAGUUAGUACUGCUAUGACUACAGUUAUUACUUCCUCACAUAAUACUACUAUUCAUUCCACUGAAAUCACAAAUGCUACCUCUUUAAAUAUAACCCAAUCUCCACCAUUGGCAAGCACUACUGACCACCCUAUUAAUGGCACUCCCAACACUUCAGAAAGGAGCACAGCUAAGUUUGCGACGACUUUUACGCCACACAGCGCUUCUCCUCAUCCCAAUCCCGGAACCACUGCUCAGCAUGCUAGCAGCCGGCCUGCUAGCACUGCCAGCACAAGCAGCCCUCCGCUGGCUAAAACAACAAGCAGUCACACCACAAGAACCACUUCGGCACCACACCCCAGCCCCACCAGUUCAGCGAGCGCUGGCACGCAUGACCACACCGCAGCUGCAGCCGACGGAAACAGCCAGGAGGUCCCAGGCUGGGCGAUAGCCUUGCUGGUGCUCGCUUCCCUCAUCCUGCUCUUCCUCAUCCUCCUCUUCGUUGCACUGCUGGUAUACUGGUGCUGUAAAAGAAGACAGUAUGACUUCAUGAACAUGUCUGAGGACCCUAGCAUCUAUAACCAAAUCAACCGUGGCGCUGAUAUUCCCAUGUACACCACCCACAGCCCCUUUGAGUCUUCCAAUGGCAAGCCCUAUGAGGAGAUGGACAAACCAAUAAAAAACCGAGCAACGUAUACCGUGAACCAUCGGUAAUUUCACUGAGGAAGAUUUCAAUGUUGACUCCAGCCAGUGGAAUCCUGAGUACUGAAGUGCAGUCUAUGGACAUUUUCUGUAAGACUGGUGGCAGGAGGUAUUGCUACUCCAACAUACAGGGUAUACUCAUACAUCCGCAUCAUCAGUGUCAGCCACCUUGAAGUCACACAACGAGAGCAAGUGUUCUUAAACUGUUUCUUUUUUGUAUUUUUGGUCAUUUUAUGGUUGGUUUAGGGCUUGCACACACUCUAAUGUCACUAUGUGUAUGUUUUUUCAACGUACUCCAUUCUUCAAACUUGGCUGUAUGGCACAAAAUAUGUAUAAGAUGUAAAUGUGCUAAUGACAUUAGCAUCUGUAGCAAGAAUGUUAAACUUCCAAAGGAGCAGACUUUCAUGUUAUUUAUAGCUUUGGCGAUUGUGAUAUACAGCAGACAGAAUGUGUAAUACACAUACUGGGGUUAAUAUUAAAUGGAGGCUCACAGGUUUUUAACAGUAGUUCAAGACUAGAAACCACUUUUAUAUUCAUCCAUGUUUUCAUGAAUAGAAUAUCAGGGUGAUUUCUGUGAUCGAUUGCUAGCUGAUCAUUCUUUUCUCAUGGCUUCAAAUUGGACCAUAAAACAAACAAGAAUUUGAGACUUGAUAAGUGGUGCUUGGUCUGUAAUAUGUAUCAUAGCCAUUGAAUGAUAUACUCUAGAUUGUGUGCAUAUACAGUACAUUUCCAAAAGUAUGUGGACUCCCCUUCUAAUUAGUGGCUUUGGUUAUUUCAGUCACACCUUGCUCAUAGGUGCAUAAAAUCAAGCAUACAACCAUGCAAGCUCCAUUGACAAACAUUGGCAGUAGAAUGGGUUGUACUAAAGAGCUCCGUGACUUUCAACACUGCCAUUGGAUGCCAUCUUUCCAGCAAGUCAGUGUGUCAGAUUUCUGCACUGCUUAAGUUACCCCAGUCAACUGAAAGUGCUGUUAUUGCAAAGUGGAAACAUAUAGGAGCAACAACAGCUCUUGGUUGAAAUACUCACUACAGUUCCAAACUUGGCCCCUUAGUUCCAUUGAAGGGAAAUCUAAAAUGACAUUCUUGAGAAUUCCAGCUUUGUGGCAACAGUUUGGGGAAGGCCCUUUCCUGUUUCAGCAUGACAAUGCCCCCAUGCACAAAUCUGGUGGGGAAGAACUUGACUGGCCUUCACAGAGCUCUGUCCCUUACCCCAUCAAACAACUUAGGGGUGAACUGGAAUGCCGGCUGCGAGCCAGGUCUUAUGGCCAUCAUCAGUGCCCAAUCUCACUAAUGCUUUUGUGGCUGAAUGGAAGCAAAUCCCUGCAGCUGUUCCAAAAUCUAGUGGAAAGCCUUCCCUGAAGAGUGGAGGCUGUUUCAGGCUGUCCUACUCCAUAUUAAUACCCUUGGUUUUGGAAUGAGAUGUCCAUAUGUCCAUAAGUCCAUAUGGGUGUGAUGUUCAGGGGUCCACAUACAUUUGGAAAUGUAGUGUAUAAUAUCAAUUGCAUGUUUUAACCCAACUGAAACAUCUGCAUAUUUACAAAUGUAAAUAUAGGUAUUGUGAACAUUUUACAAUUCUAUGAUGUUACUGUAUGAAUGCCUGGAGUGCAUUGUGUCUAUUUGCAGUAUUUAUGACAGCAGAAUGACAAUGAAAAAAGAUUUAUCUGAGAUAGCAGAUUACACAUUGACAUGUUCCUCAUGUUUAAUUUACACAUUACUCACCUGUACUGUUCUGAAUGGUAGCUGCACAGGGUUAUAAAACACAACAUGAAACUGUGUAAUGAUCACAUUUUAUCAAAAUCCCAGAGUCCCAUUACAGUCUUAUACCAGCCCAGUAACUGUGCCAAACCAGAUGUUCCAUUAAAAAUAAUUCUGUGCACAAUGUUAUUUUAACCUUCUUGUUUUAUUCAUAUUAACUACAUGACAUCCUGCCCUGUGCAUGCUCAAUACUGGUGACUCAAAACUGAUUAUCCAAAGUUUGAACCUCAGUGACAUUCUGUGUGACACACCCACUGAAUGCUAUUUUGAAAAGGGGAAAAUCAAAUAAUAAUUUGUAAUAUGCAUUGUUUUUUUUAGCAGUGUUUAAUCAAAAUAAAAAAAGCACAAAACUA